GGGGAUUUAGCUCAGCGGUAGAGCACUUGCCUAGCAAGCACAAGGCCCUGGGUUCGAUCCCCAGCUCCA
This is a non-coding RNA of Rattus norvegicus (Norway rat), 69 nucleotides long. The record is from Rfam. Lineage: Eukaryota; Metazoa; Chordata; Mammalia; Rodentia; Muridae.